AUGAACGCUGGCGGCGUGCCUAAUCCAUGCAAGUCGAGCGAACAGAUGAGGAGCUUGCUCCUCUGACGUUAGCGGCGGACGGGUGAGUAACACGUGGAUAACCUACCUAUAAGACUGGGAUAACUUCGGGAAACCGGAGUUAAUACCGGAUAAUAUAUUGAACCGCAUGGUUCAAUAGUGAAAGACGGUUUUGCUGUCACUUAUAGAUGGAUCCGCGCCGCAUUAGCUAGUUGGUAAGGUAACGGCUUACCAAGGCAACGAUGCGUAGCCGACCUGAGAGGGUGAUCGGCCACACUGGAACUGAGACACGGUCCAGACUCCUACGGGAGGCAGCAGUAGGGAAUCUUCCGCAAUGGGCGAAAGCCUGACGGAGCAACGCCGCGUGAGUGAUGAAGGUCUUCGGAUCGUAAAACUCUGUUAUUAGGGAGGAACAAAUGUGUAAGUAACUAUGCACGUCUUGACGGUACCUAAUCAGAAAGCCACGGCUAACUACGUG
Molecule: ribosomal RNA, 496 nt
Filed under: uncultured bacterium
Lineage: Bacteria
Description: partial 16S ribosomal RNA
Rfam family: Bacterial small subunit ribosomal RNA
Source: RNAcentral